This is a long non-coding RNA of Etheostoma spectabile (orangethroat darter), 210 nucleotides long. RefSeq lists it as uncharacterized. Lineage: Eukaryota; Metazoa; Chordata; Actinopteri; Perciformes; Percidae. The record is from RefSeq and is a predicted model, not a curated record. The transcript is spliced from 3 exons.
UUUGACUUGUUGAAUCGUACAGUGGGCAGUCGGACUCAAUGACCAAUCUGAUAGGUGGAGUGCCCGCCCUUGACUAGCGAAUCAGUGGACUUAUGUUAAAACACUUACUGGAAAUGACAAGCAGGAUGAGCCUGACAAACGCCUCUCAAAAUCUGACGAAAAUCUUUUAAACUGACUUUUAUCGAUCAAAAAGUAAGACAGAUUAAGCAA